GUACCGCGGCUGCUGGCACGUAGUUAGCCGAUCCUUAUUCCCAUGGUACAGUCCUUUCUCUUCCCAUGGAAAAGCACUUUACGAUCCGAAGACCUUCAUCGUGCACGCGGUAUUGCUGCGUCAGGCUUUCGCCCAUUGUGGAAGAUUCCUUACUGCUGCCUCCCGUAGGAGUCUGGGCCGUAUCUCAGUCCCAGUGUGGCUGGUCAACCUCUCGAUCCAGCUACUGAUCGUCGCCUUGGUGAGCCAUUACCUCAACCAACUAGCUAAUCAGACGCAGGCCCCUCCCGAAGCGCAAAAGCUUUACUUAUGACUAGCAUAAGACUAUGGGGUAUUAGCCACCCUUUCGGGCAGUUAUUCCCCACUUCGGGGCAGGUACCAACGUGUUACUCACCCGUCCGCCACUCAAUCACUCAUAUAUUCCGCUCGCAAAUGUGGAAAUUCCACGGCUGCGAGCGAAUAAAGUGAUCGCGUACGACUUGCAUGUAUUAGGCAUGCCGCCAGCGUUCAUCCUGAGCCAGGAUCAAACUC
Molecule: ribosomal RNA, 528 nt
Filed under: uncultured Microgenomates group bacterium
Lineage: Bacteria
Description: partial 16S ribosomal RNA
Source: RNAcentral